ACCUGAUAAUAACUCGAUAAGUUAUCGUGUUGACCUGAAAUCCGUUAUUUUCGUGUCGUUUUCGUUUCGUGCCAGAAACUGUCAGGUUUACUCUCUAGGGUUCCUAGGUCUUCUUGGAUUUCACUAGGAGAGAGUCUGCACGAUGUUCGUAUACGGCGAUUUGUGUCGAGUGACCUUGAUCUUGUGUUCGUAGUUCUACGGGCAUAGGUAAGUGGUUGUUUGGUCCAACUAAUCCACUUUGUUGGAGACAUUUUCAGCUGAUGGUUCAGGCUGGUUUUGCAGCGUGUGGAAGUCAUGGUCGCAUGCUUUGCUGCACGGUUGACGCUCAUUGCACAUCAAUGGUUGAAUGCUAACAAGUUUGAGGGCGGAAGAUCCCCUUGAUUUGCUUAGGGGUAUUUUGUAAUUUGCUUAUGUAUUGACAUUUGAGGAUAGGUCAUUUCGUUGUGCGGGACACUCUUUUUCCUUCGACCGAGUUGAAAGCUUCGGCAAGGUUUUAUUGAGGACCACUGUGCACACUCCUCAGUUUGUUCUCAAAUUGUACUUGUUCUGUGUUGUUUGAAAUGAAUAUUGAAUAUCGUCUUU
Molecule: long non-coding RNA, 582 nt
Filed under: Malus domestica (apple)
Lineage: Eukaryota; Viridiplantae; Streptophyta; Magnoliopsida; Rosales; Rosaceae
Description: long non-coding RNA (MDOM_LNC012347)
Source: RNAcentral